Molecule: ribosomal RNA, 540 nt
Filed under: uncultured bacterium
Lineage: Bacteria
Description: bacterial SSU rRNA
Rfam family: Bacterial small subunit ribosomal RNA
Source: RNAcentral
CGCUAUUUAGGUUAGAGUUUGAUCAUGGCUCAGAGUGAACGCUGGCGGCAGGCCUAACACAUGCAAGUCGAGCGGCAGCACGGGUAGCAAUACCUGGUGGCGAGCGGCGGACGGGUGAGGAAUACAUCGGUAUCUGCCUCGUCGUGGGGGAUAACGUAGGGAAACUUACGCUAAUACCGCAUACGACCGAGAGGUGAAAGCGGGGGAUCGAAAGACCUCGCGCGAUGAGAUGAGCCGAUGUCGGAUUAGCUAGUUGGCGGGGUAAGAGCCCACCAAGGCGACGAUCCGUAGCUGGUCUGAGAGGAUGAUCAGCCACACUGGAACUGAGACACGGUCCAGACUCCUACGGGAGGCAGCAGUGGGGAAUAUUGGACAAUGGGCGCAAGCCUGAUCCAGCCAUGCCGCGUGGGUGAAGAAGGCCUUCGGGUUGUAAAGCCCUUUUGUUCGGGACGAAAUCGUACGGGCGAAUAUCCCGUGCGGAUGACGGUACCGGAAGAAUAAGCACCGGCUAACUUCGUGCCAGCAGCCGCGGUAAUCGCC